This 412-nucleotide ribosomal RNA is filed under the name uncultured bacterium. RNAcentral describes it as "bacterial SSU rRNA". It matches the Rfam family "Bacterial small subunit ribosomal RNA", at positions 355 to 794 of the family's 1533-position model. The record is from RNAcentral.
UGGGGAAUAUUGGACAAUGGGCGCAAGCCUGAUCCAGCCAUGCCGCGUGAGUGAUGAAGGCCCUAGGGUUGUAAGCUCUUUCGGCGGGGAAGCGGUACCCGCAGAAGAAGCCCCGGCUAACUUCGUGCCAGCAGCCGCGGUAAUACGAAGGGGGCUAGCGUUGUUCGGAAUUACUGGGCGUAAAGCGCACGCAGGCGGAUUGUUAAGUCGAGGGUGAAAUCCUGGAGCUCAACUCCAGAACUGCCUCCGAUACUGGCAAUCUCGAGUCCGGAAGAGGUGAGUGGAAUUCCUAGUGUAGAGGUGGAAUUCGUAGAUAUUAGGAAGAACACCAGUGGCGAAGCGGCUCACUGGUCCGGACUGACGCUGAGGUGCGAAAGCGUGGGGAGCAAACAGGAUUAGAUACCCGUGUAGU